GGAAAGUACAAACCCAUUCGCCUCUCUGUCUCUCAACUCAAACUCCAAAACUUUGCUAGAAAGAGAGAAAAAGCCUUUUUAAUUUCCCCAUUCCUUAUGGUUUGGCAAGUUAAUCGAUUGUUUUGCUUUCCGGGAAAAUUUAUUCCUCAACUAAACUGUCACUUUCCUGGGAAAAUUUACAGCACCUGAGAAUAUCAUUCCGGUACCUUACCCAACUGUUGUCUCAUGAUUCCAAUUUGCUUGCUACUGGUGUGUGUAGUUAUCUUUCAAUUCAUUUCCUCU
Molecule: unclassified non-coding RNA, 282 nt
Filed under: Hevea brasiliensis (rubber tree)
Lineage: Eukaryota; Viridiplantae; Streptophyta; Magnoliopsida; Malpighiales; Euphorbiaceae
Source: RNAcentral